Molecule: long non-coding RNA, 4183 nt
Filed under: Equus caballus (horse)
Lineage: Eukaryota; Metazoa; Chordata; Mammalia; Perissodactyla; Equidae
Description: lncRNA (ENSECAG00000052073.1)
Source: RNAcentral
UGGUAGGGUAAGUAAAUAAUUGAAUAUUAGCCUACAAUAACAAAAACAAACUACAAGUACAUAUAUAUGAGUGUUUAUCACAGACAUAAUAUUGAAUGAAAGAAGCCAAACAUAAAAGAGAACAUAUUUUAUGAUUCUAUUUAUAUGAAACAUAAAAAUAUAUAAAACUAAUCUAUGCUAUUAGAAGUCAGGGGAAUGGUUGCCCUUUAAGGGUUAGUGAACAGAAGGUCCCACAAGGGGGCUUUUGAGGUACUGGUAAUAUUAGGUUUCUUGUCUGGAUGCUAUCUAUAUUUAUGAUUUGAACGCUUUAUGUGUAUUUCACUGUAAAGUUUUAAAAAAAUAACAGUAAAUACAAGAAAGCCCACAUAAGUUCUGAUAUUUCCCCCAUGAUAACUACUUUGAUGCUUUUUGAGGGAAAUAAUAUCAAAUUCUUUCAAAAAUCUUUUUUCUGCCCAUUUUUUGAACUCUUGCUUUGCUGGUACUCUUGCAUUUGUAAUAGCAACUUAAGUAAGAGACUAGACCAGGUGUGGGGUCUGUCUGGGAAGCCUUCUUGAAAGAGAUGAAGCUGGACCUGAAUUUUGUAGCAUCCAUUGGAGGCAGCCAGGGGAGCAAGUGGAGAGCAGAGAGUUCCAGGCAGAAAGGCGAGGCUGCUGGCAAGCAUGAAGUUGUGGUGAGGGAAAAAAGAACCCAUUGGGAGGGGCCAGAAAUGGCUUGCUACAGCUGGAACUUAAAGAGUGGCCGAGGAGGGGUUAGAAGUGGUAAGAAAGAUAGUUUGCCAGAGGCCAGAUUGAGAAGGGCCUGGAAGGGUUAUACUACUGUUUGGACUUGAUCCUGUGGGCAUCUGGGAGCCAGUGAACAAUUUAAACCAGUGACACAAUUAGGUUUCUCUUUAAUUAAGAGUAAGCUGGUGAUGGUGUGAAGGCCACUUGGAGAGGGAUAAGACUGAAGCCUGGGGGACCAGUUAAGAGGCCAUGCCAAUAAUUCAUGGGAGAUAUGAUGUGCUGGUGGCAUGGGAUGGAGAGGUGGGGAGAGAAAUGAGAGCUAUUGAGGAGACAACUGUCCAGACGGGACUUGAUAAUUGACAGGUUUGGAAUUGAUAUGUAGGCAUGGUGCUUUUUUUCUCGAGAAACAAAAUUGGAACUUCUAAUUUGAUAAAUGAUGAAACACAUCUGUCUUUCCCCUUUAAUACUGUUCUACAGUGACAGAGGUCAAAGGAUAUUGCUGUGACGAACAAGAGAAAGCUUAUCAAUUACUUCCCAUUGCUUCUUAGAAUGAAAACUCAAUGACACGUUUCAUAUUUUUUCAGUGGAGGAUCCUGUAGGUCGUGUUAUGCACUAGCACGCAAACUUCUUGAUUUUGCCAAAUGAGUCAGUUGAGAGGGAAAAGGUAAUUUAUCCAAGAAGCCCUGUGUUUAAUGACAUUCUGGAAAUAGAAAAAAUGUUGAACCUGUAUUCAGUGUCGUAUACUGUUGUAAACAAAAAACAAUUGUGCAUGUGUUUAUAUGAUUAUUUAGGUACAAAAAUUUGUAUACACACAUAUGAAUAAACAUACACAUAUGUAUAUAUACACUUGCACAUAUAUAUAUAUAUAUGCACACUGGAAACCUAUACUACUAUGCAAUACCCUUGAGAUUUUAGAUACAGAGAUUAUCUAGUAUAUAAAGAAUAACAAAUUUUUAUUUAAUUUCCCUCUCUUUUUAAGGGUUACAUUUGGGUGGGAGAGGAUCUGGAGGAUAUUUUCCUUACUUUAAUUACCUCAUUGCGUUCCUUCCUUUCAAUUUUGGUUUUUAUAAAUGGGAACACUGCAUUAAUCUAUUCUAAUUAAAAAUCAGCCAUGCAACCCUUCAGUUAAAGAAACAAUUUUCAGUCUGCCUAGGAUACCAUUUUGUCAGAAAUUGCCUCUAUUGCUUUUGGAAUUAACACCACUGCAGUGCUGUGGUGACCACUGGGCAACAGCUUUACUAGUUGAUUUUAUGCUAAAAAUAUCAGGAAUUGGCCAAGAGUCUUUGCUCUGGAGAAGGGUUCAGAGCUCUUCCAUGGGGGCCUAACAGAGUGUGGACAUUUCUAUUCCUACAGUAAAAGAAGAGGGGGAGUUAUGGAAGGGGCGACAAGGAAAGACCUAAGUUCAUCUCCUGCUUGUCCACAGAACAGCUCUUCACCUUCCGGCUGCCAGAGGAGCUAUGCUAUUCUUAGCCAUCUCCUGCAAAGGAUGCUAAACUUGGAACAUUUUAUCAUGAAGUUAACAGUGAAGACUCCCAGAUGACUUUGUAUUGGAGAAGAGAAAAGAAAAAAAAAUGUGAAUCCUACCUUAUGUCAGAGGAGGCUUUGAAGCUAUAAUGGACACAGAUCUAAAUUAAAGGGCCCAGGCUGAAGGAGCAGUGGCUGUUGUGGCACAGUCUUCCCGUGGAUGAAUUUUGGAAUGAGAGAGCCAAGCCCAAUUACACAAGCGCAUUUACGGCCUUGCUUGCAUCGUGUCUUCUAACAUGCCAUUGUUCAAAGCAAGUCACAUGGCGAAGUUCAACAUCAAGGGGGCAAGGAAGUAUAGUAUUUCCACGGUGGGGGUGGGGAGGAGAAGGAAUAUUUGCUGAACAAUAACCCAAAUUAUUACAGAAAGUAUAUCAACUGUCCCUCUGGAUUUCAAAGGGAAGGAAGCACUUCAUCCACUCUCCUUGUAAAUUUUCUAUGUGAGCUGAGAACGAGGUUGGAAGGAGCCAUCUUCCAUUCCAUGUUUAUCUCCAGGAGGCCCACUUUUGCUCUCUGGAGUAGAGGUUUUGAUUCUUUACAUGUUCGUUUCCUCCUUAUUAGAUUAGUUCCUCCUCAAUCUGUUCAUAUAAUGUUUAUCUACCCAUUAAUAUUUUAUUCCUAGCUUAUCUAUAAUAUUUUUUCCUUUGCUAUCUCACACAUUACCUCCCCUUUAAGAAUAGACCCAAAAUAAACCAAACCAGAGUUGUUUAUCAAGAAUCUGAUAUGUGCUCAGCUAUAUUCUAGUGUUGUAUUUUAUACAGAAAAAUGUUCCUGCAAUUCUCUACCCUUAGGAGUUCAUAAUUGAGUCUCUAAAUUGGAUUAAAUACUGAACUGUAUGAUAUUGACUUGGUGUGAUAGUUCACAGACAAGAGAAAUUUUUCACGGUAGAGCUAGUUAAGAUAAAGGUGGACCUUGAUAAAUGGGUAGAAUUUUGCAUAGAGAGAAAGGAGGAGGAGAAGGGAGGGCACUGAUGGAGGGCGAAGGAGCACAAUCAAAGAUGUGGAGGCAGAAAUGGGCUUCGGUUGGAGUAAGGCUGCUGCAUAACCAAAUUUACAUUGUUUAAGGUUUUAGAGUUCAUACUUAAACAUCCAUAAUUCAGAACGAAGAGAAACAGAAGUAGACAAAGCAAUGGCCUGGAUAUUAAACAGACUGUCUGAGGCAUAACUUUCUUGUCCAUUUCGUGACUGCCACUGUGUUGACCACCAGGCAGGGAAGACUGCACCAGGACAGCCCUCGGUCACACAUGCCCCUGGUGACAACAUCCAAACCACUUGUGUUUCACUGGCCAGGAUACAGAAAUCAUCUUUGAGUCCUAGACCCCUGAACUCCUAGUUUCCCUAGACCAAAGAUGAUGGUGCCCCUUGGGGGCUACCUACUGCCCAAGGACUGGGCAUCUUUCUUUUUUUUCUAAAGCCUCCUUGAAAAAUACAUACUUUAGAAGAUAUUUCUUGUCAGGUAGAACUUUACUGAGGAGACGCUUUAGGCUUAUAAGCAGGGGACAGGAAUACCAAUAUUGGGGUUGAGGCGUAGACAUAUGGACAAAGAUUCUUUGCUUGACCAAACUUUAGUCAGGCUCCUGAAUCUUCUCCUACGCCCAUCUGGGCACUUCCCUGUAAAAAAUCUAGUUUUAGCAAGAACGCUGCUAAGACAGUUCAGCAAGAGUCCCCCAUCCUCCAUAUCUGAUCCCCUUCGAUAUCUGAUCAGGUUCCUCUUGUUCCACAGUCUCCCAGGUGAUGUCUGGUCACCCUGGCCUGUCUUCAGUGAGAACCCUGUUAGGUCGGUUUAGCCAGAAUUCUCCUUACCCCUGAUGUUUCCUCUUGGUAGUUUUCUAUACACUGACUGCCUCCCUGCUCCUUGGCUACAAAUCCUCACUUGUCCAUGCUGUAUUCAGAAUUGAGCCUGGUUCUAUACUGAGGUCUCUUUUUCCUGUAUUGCAAUAA